Non-coding RNA from Microcebus murinus (gray mouse lemur), 1574 nucleotides. The record is from RefSeq and is a predicted model, not a curated record. Lineage: Eukaryota; Metazoa; Chordata; Mammalia; Primates; Cheirogaleidae.
AUGAAGGGGACACAAGAAAAGUUUCUGCCUUACCAGGAGGUUUCACUUCUUGAAAACGAUCCCCGGGGACUGCCUGACGUGCUUCAUGCUACCUUAAUUAGGAGAACCUCUGCAGCCCCCACCCUGUCAGCAGGUGUAGAUGUAUAUUUUAUUAGGUCAGUAACACAUUUAAAAUACUUCUCUUUGGGCUGGCCUUCGAGCGACAGCGAUGCAAGAUGGCAGCCACCACGGGCUCAGAGAAUUUAUGAAAACCGAAUAUACAGUCUUAAAAUAGAAUGUGGACCUAAAUACCCAGAAGCACUCUCACUUUGUAAGAUUUGUGGCAAAAAUUAAUAUGAAUGGAGUUAAUAGUUCUAAUGAAGUGGUGGAUCCAAGAGCCAUAUCAGUGCUAGCAAAAUGGCAGAAUUCAUAUAGCAUCAAAGUUAUCCUGCAAGAACUUCGGUGCCUAAUGAUGUCUAAAGAAAAUAUGAAACUCCCUCAGCCACCUGAAAGGGACAGUGUUACAGCAAUUAAUCAAAAAGAAAAACCACAGGCCCUUACCCUUACCCGCAUUUCAAUUCAAGCAGUCUUCAUUUUCCACAGUAGUAGAUUUUCUAGAUACGUCUUGUAGACCUCAAAGUACUGGAAAGGAAGCUCCCAUUCAAAGGCAAUUUGUCUUAAGAUACUGCAAAUGAUACUAAUUUUGUGUCCAUUUGAAAUAUAUAAGUUGUGCUAUAACAAAUCAUCCUGUCAAGUGUAACCACUGUCCACGUAGUUGAACUUCUGGGAUCAAGAAAGUAUAUUUAAAUUGGUUCCCAUCAUCGCUGGUGGGGCACAUCUAAAACUCAACGGUGAAAGGACACAUCGCACAAUCAUCUUGCUGCUGAUUACGUGGCCUGGGGUCUCUGCCUUCUCUCCUUCCCCUUCCCUUGCCUCCAUCCUUGCCUGCAACAGCCCUCCAGUUUGGGGGCUUGUUAGAGUGGAUGAGAUGUGAAGGUUUCAGAUCGCAGCCUAUGGGACUACUGCUGGGAAUGUAGGGUGCCUUGCCUGCACCCCUGGUUUCUUUCUUUAAGUCUUAAGCGAUGCCCCCUUCCAAGCCAUCAUCUCCUCCCCACUCUCCUCCACUCCUGCCCUUGGCCAAAGCGUAGAUUGUAAUCCCUCUGCUCCCCUCUGAGAUUGGCCUUUAGUGAGGAAUUCAGGGCUCUCCCAUAUGUUCUCUCCUCACCUUUAUCGAGGGGUGCUGCUUCUCCUCCCUCCUUCUCAAGUCCCUCUUUGCUCUGUCACCACCCAACACUUUCCAUGACACUCCUUGCCAUCAGGUAAGGUUGGACAGAGUCUCUGACCUCUGUCGUUUAGUUUUGGAACCACAUUUAUUCACUCAACCAGCCUGGGAAAUGAAUUUGGGGUCCUCAGCCCUGCUACCCUUUGCUGUUAUCAUCAGCUGAUGUGUUUUUAGCUCAGGUUUUGAUAAGGUGAAAAGAACAGUCCACCAGGGUUACUCAGACCUGCUAGCUCUCAGAGUCUUUGGUGGUUAAACUUGGAGAAAGCCCACAUGAAGACACUCCUAAGCACACACGGUCCCUCUGAAUUGUUUU